AAUUUAUUGAUCAAGCGCAAAAGGGCUUGCGGUGGAUUCCUUGGCGUCAAUGGGCGAUGAAGGGCGUAGCAAGCUGCGAUAAGCUUCGGGGAGCCGCUAACAGGCGUUGAUCCGGAGAUUCCCGAAUGGGGCAACCCUGCACAGGUCAUACUGUGCAAUCUUCGACUGAAUACAUAGGUCGUUGAGGCUAACCAGGAGAAUUGAAACAUCUUAGUACCCUGAGGAACAGAAAGCAAAAGCGAUUCCCUUAGUAGUGGCGAACGAACGGGGAACAGCCUAAACCAAGUGUUACGUUAAAACCCGUGGGUGUUGUACAUUUGGGGUUGUGGGUCUCAAUUUGGCGGAACUACGGAUCUGCCGGAAUGUUACAAAAACAUACUUUAGUUUAGCAGGCUGGAAAGCCUGGCCAUAGAUGGUGAUAGCCCAGUGAACGAAAAGGUAUGUUCAUUCUUGAUUGAGUACCCAAGUACUGCGGGACACGAGAAAUCUUGCAGGAAUCUGGGAGGACCACCUCUCAAGGCUAAAUACCAUUGACGACCGAUAGUGAACUAGUACCGUGAGGGAAAGGUGAAAAGCACCCCGGUAAGGGGAGUGAAAUAGUAUAUGAAACCGCGAGCCUACAAGCAGUGGGAGCACUAUACUCUUGCUUCGGCAGGAGAAUGUGUGACCGCAUACCUUUUGCAUAAUGAGCCGCCGAGUUACUUUACUUAGCAAGGUUAAGCCGAUAGGUGUAGCCGUAGCGAAAGCGAGUCUGAAUAGGGCGUUUAGUUAAGUGGAGUAGACCCGAAGCCGGGUGAUCUACCCAUGUCCAGGGUGAAGCGUAGGUAACACUACGUGGAGGCCCGAACCAGUAGACGUUGAAAAGUCUUUGGAUGAGGUGUGGGUAGGGGUGAAAGGCUAAUCAAACCCGGCAAUAGCUGGUUCUCCCCGAAAUAGUUUUAGGACUAGCCUUGUAUAAUAGUAAACGGAGGUAGGGCGCUGGAUGGACUAGGGGCCUCACCAGGUUACCAAACCCAACCAAUCUUCGAAUUCCGUUUACCGUAUUACAGGAGUCAGACUGCGGGUGAUAAGGUCCGUAGUCGAGAGGGAAAGAGCCCAGACCACCAGCUAAGGUCCCUAAGAUAGACUAAGUGGGAAAGGUUGUAGGAAUACACAGACAAUCAGGAGGUUGGCUUAGAAGCAGCAAUCCUUUAAAGAAAGCGUAAUAGCUCACUGAUCAAGUGUACCUGCGCCGAAAAUUUAACGGGGCUAAGUUUAUCACCGAAGCUGUGGAUUGGAGAUAACUUCGGUUAUCUCUUCUGGUAGGGGAGCGUUCCAUACUGGGCUGAAGCUCGAUCGUAAGAACGGGUGGACUGUAUGGAAGUGAGUAUGGCGGCAUGAGUAACGAUAAAACAGGUGAGAAACCUGUUCGCCGAAAAUCCAAGGGUUCCUGAGGAAGGUUAAUCCUCUCAGGGUAAGUCGACCCCUAAGGCGAGGCCGAAAGGCGUAGCUGAUGGGAAGCGGGUUAAUAUUCCCGUACCACUUGAAUCGCGUUAUUAGCGAUGGGGUAACGUAGAAGGGUAAUUUAUCCGGGUGUUGGACGUCCCGGUUCAAGCAUGUAGGAGGGUGGUUUUGGCAAAUCCGGAUCACCAUUAACUCUGAGGUGUGAUGAGGAGCUUCUCCUUCGGGACAAGCGAACUAAAUGAUCCCAUGCUACCGAGAAAAACCUCUAGUGAGCUAUUCAGGUGAUCGUACCCUAAACCGACACGGGUGGAUGAGUAGAGAAUACUAAGGCGCUUGAGAGAACUCUGGUUAAGGAACUCGGCAAAUUAGCUCCGUAACUUCGGGAUAAGGAGUGCCCUCAUAAGGUGAAAGAACUUGCUUCUGGAGCUGAAGGGGGUUGCAGUGACCAGGUAGCCGCGACUGUUUACUAAAAACAUAGGACUCUGCGAAGUCGCAAGACGAUGUAUAGGGUCUGACGCCUGCCCGGUUCCGGAAGGUUAA
RNAcentral lists this ribosomal RNA (1983 nucleotides) under Acidiferrobacteraceae bacterium. RNAcentral's name for it is "partial 23S ribosomal RNA". It matches the Rfam family "Bacterial large subunit ribosomal RNA", at positions 1 to 1880 of the family's 2925-position model. Lineage: Bacteria; Pseudomonadati; Pseudomonadota; Gammaproteobacteria; Acidiferrobacterales; Acidiferrobacteraceae. The record is from RNAcentral.